RNAcentral lists this ribosomal RNA (431 nucleotides) under uncultured bacterium. RNAcentral's name for it is "bacterial SSU rRNA". It matches the Rfam family "Bacterial small subunit ribosomal RNA", at positions 355 to 796 of the family's 1533-position model. The record is from RNAcentral.
UCGAGGAUCUUCGUCAAUGGGCGCAAGCCUGAACGAGCGACGCCGCGUGUGCGAUGAAGGCCUUCGGGUUGUAAAGCACUGUCGAGGGGGAUCAAGGCGCAAGCUUGAGUGAUCCCUGGAGGAAGCACGGGCUAAGUUCGUGCCAGCAGCCGCGGUAAGACGAACCGUGCGAACGUUGUUCGGAAUCACUGGGCUUAAAGGGCGCGUAGGCGGCUCGCGAGGUCGGGGGUGAAAUCCCACAGCUUAACUGUGGAAGUGCCUUCGAUACCGGUGGGCUGGAGGAAGGUAGGGGUGCGCGGAACUUCUGGUGGAGCGGUGAAAUGCGUUGAUAUCAGAAGGAACGCCGGCGGCGAAAGCGGCGCACUGGACCUUUUCUGACGCUGAGGCGCGAAAGCCAGGGGAGCAAACGGGAUUAGAUACCCGCGUAGUCC